GAUGAACGCUGGCGGCGUGCCUAAUACAUGCAAGUCGAGCGAACAGACGAGGAGCUUGCUCCUCUGACGUUAGCGGCGGACGGGUGAGUAACACGUGGAUAACCUACCUAUAAGACUGGGAUAACUUCGGGAAACCGGAGCUAAUACCGGAUAAUAUAUUGAACCGCAUGGUUCAAUAGUGAAAGACGGUUUUGCUGUCACUUAUAGAUGGAUCCGCGCCGCAUUAGCUAGUUGGUAAGGUAACGGCUUACCAAGGCAACGAUGCGUAGCCGACCUGAGAGGGGGAUCGGCCACACUGGAACUGAGACCCGGUCCAGACUCCUACGGGAGGCAGCAGUAGGGAAUCUUCCGCAAUGGGCGAAAGCCUGACGGAGCAACGCGGCGUGAGUGAUGAAGGUCUUCGGAUCGUAAAACUCUGUUAUUAGGGAAGAACAAAUGUGUAAGUAACUAUGCACGUCUGGACGGUACCUAAGCAGAAAGCCACGGCUAACUACGU
This 496-nucleotide ribosomal RNA is filed under the name uncultured bacterium. RNAcentral describes it as "partial 16S ribosomal RNA". It matches the Rfam family "Bacterial small subunit ribosomal RNA", at positions 28 to 506 of the family's 1533-position model. The record is from RNAcentral.